AGUGUAGGCGGCUUCGUAAGUCGGAUGUGAAAGCCCCGGGCUUAACCUGGGAAUUGCAUUCGAUACUGCGCGGCUAGAGUCUGAUAGAGGGAAGUGGAAUUCCAGGUGUAGCGGUGAAAUGCGUAGAUAUCUGGAGGAACACCAGUGACGAAGGCGGCUUCCUGGAUCAAGACUGACGCUGAGGCUCGAAAGCGUGGGGAGCAAACA
RNAcentral lists this ribosomal RNA (207 nucleotides) under uncultured bacterium. RNAcentral describes it as "partial 16S ribosomal RNA". It matches the Rfam family "Bacterial small subunit ribosomal RNA", at positions 568 to 774 of the family's 1533-position model. The record is from RNAcentral.